This 4399-nucleotide long non-coding RNA is filed under the name Podarcis lilfordi (Lilford's wall lizard). Lineage: Eukaryota; Metazoa; Chordata; Lepidosauria; Squamata; Lacertidae. The record is from RNAcentral.
UGUCCAGGUGAGAUUUGUCGACCCUUCUGACUGCAAAUUGGAUUUCCUCCUAGCUAGGGGGCCUUCUGGAGCCAAACAAGAGGAAUAGCGAUAUUUCCACAAGCCUGUUUGAACCUCAGUAGAAAGGAUUGGAUCCCGAUCAAGGCUCAAGUGAUUUUUCUUCUUCUCCAGAGCAGUUCUUAACUUAUGCCAAAUGAUUUACUUACUUCUACAUACACUGCCCUUGUCUUGUUUACAACAUUUAUAGCAAAUUUGUGCACACCUCUUGCUGUUAGGUAUAUGUAAAGGCACAACAUUCAGCCUCUCGCACCCCCCACCCCAUAAUAUGUAGCACAGAGGAAAUACCUGGUUAGAAGGGUGAUUUCAGGCUAUCCUGUGGGUCAGUUUAUCAGAGUUGUUUCACUGAGUUGUCUGCUUAAAAUUACUAUAAUAUAAAAAUGUGUGUGGAAAGAACAGCUGCAACAACAACAACAACAACAACAACAGAAAGACAUUAACUACUUAUUUCUGAGCCUGGAUGUAAAUAUCUGCUCUUGGAAUACUCACCCAUUUCCUUCUUAACAACCCCAAAGUGCUUAGUAUAACUCAUCUAAUAUCUAUGGUUAAAACCUGUGCAAAUUGAAAUAAUUUUAGUUGCUAUGGCAAAUGAUAAUAUUUAAUGGUUCAAUGUGAAUCCUGAAAAAGAUUGAUGUGAGCGUCAAAUCUGAAAGGAAGCAAUCACCCCAAUAAAAAUGUAUUGUAGAAAGUGAUAUUUUAAACAGACCAGUAACAACAAUAAGCCUCUCUACAUUUAUCUCUUCCUUUUCUUGCUUCAGUGGCACAGCCAUAGAAGUAUGGGGGGGUGGGAGGAUCUUGGAAAUGUGCAGGUACAAGCAAUUCCUCCAUGCCUAGCUUGUUCUACUGCAUGAAUGACUAACCUAUAUAGAUGGUUUCUGACUAUCAUAGAAUGAUAGACUAUUUAUAGAGUUGGAAGAGACCACAAGGGUCAUCUAGUCCAACCACCUAUAAUGCUCAUCUCCCAUCAUCUCUGACUGUGUUGGCUAUGCUGGUUGCAGGAGAUGGGAGUUGGAGUUGAUCAACAGCUGGACCACAGGUUCCCCGUUUCAGCUGUAGGACAAGGGUGGCUUACCUGUGAUCCUCCGGAUGAUGUUGGACUCAAAGUUCCCCUAAGUCCCAGACAGUAUAGCCAGUGGUCCCUCAACAUCUAGAGGGCAACAUCUGGAGAGCACAUCUUCGCAUUGGCUUGUCUGACAUGGGACUCCAGAGGAUUCUGGGUGUGUUGUAGUCUUCUUAUUUGUUCCAUGCAUGAUAUUGACCAAGGGUUUAUCCAUAUUUGCCUCCUCUCUUUCCAGGCAUGCUCUUUGCUUUAACGCUCUGUGUCCAAGUGUUCUUUGUUUUGCUCCAGAGCUCUUUAAAGCUCUUUAAAGCUCAACUGGAGCAAACAGCAAUCUGCAGAAGACUCAAAUUCACAUUUGCUCCAAUUGAGUGCUAAAGAGCAGAUUUUCAUGGAGAAAGCAAGCAAGCAAGCAAGCAAGCAAACCUACAAUGCUCAGCCACAGAGCUUGUGAGUGUGGAUCUGUGCCUGGAAAGAGUGGGACAAAUGGUAAGUGUAGAUAAGCUCCAAGUCCAUGGAAUCUCAUUGCUAUCAUGCGUGAACGUGCAGCUGGUGGAAGGUAGGGUCAGUUUCUAUGGCUCACAACUCCAUAGCUCAGUGAUAGAACAUCUAUUUUGCAUGCAGACGGUCCAGAUCCAAUCCCUGGCAUCAUUAGGUAUAGCUGGGAAUGCUCCCUGGAGAGUAAAUACAGCCCAGAAGAGCCAGUCAUUGUUGACAGUAUUGAAUGAGAUGGACCAAUGGUCUGAUUCAGUACAAGACAGCCCUGUGUUCCUAAUCCCCUCAUGCAUGUGCUUAAUGGAUUCAACUGGACCGCCUCAGCACAAGCCCAAGGGACAGGUCGCUCACUGAUGUAUAACAUUCAGAAUGGCAUCCUGUCUUAUGCAAGCCUCAUGGUAGUGCUUAGGCUGGAGAGAUUCCUCAUAGAUUGUGCCAUUAGUGGAUCAGAUCUGCCUGUGUCUCACUUUGCUAUCCUUAUUGAUAUUUGGAAUGUGCUCUUUAAGACCAAUGCUUCAGCAUGUCUUCAUUUUAGAAGAGUCUCUCAUAUGACCACCAAUAUCCAUUUUGCAAGAAGAGGGCAAAUCAAAAAAUGCCUGGACAAAUAGCUUAUAGGAAUUUGGCUAUUAUUUAUUCAUGUUCUAUCUGUAGUUAUGUGAAAUAAUGAGGAGCCUCUAGUGAACAAGAAAUGCCUGGUUACAUCCAUCUCCUGAUUACACCAGAGCAUUGAACCAGGGAUCAUCUUCAGUCAUGCUGAAAAAGAAGCGCAUUAAAGGCCUACUGGUUAAAUACCAAACUUCUAUAUUACACUGUUCUCAUUAACUGCUGAAAUACAGUGAUGCAUCUUUCAAUGUUCGUUUUAAGCUACUUGGGGGAGAAAACAUCAAAGUGUUAUUGAUUUCAUUGUAUCACCCCCCCCCUUCCCCUUCCUCUUUGUUUGUUUUUUUUUUCUUUCCAAAUACAGCACACAUGCAGAGCAAAUAAAUGAUUGAUUUAAUUCUAGCAGAGGGAUGGGUUGAUAGAUCUUUUAAUGAGGCACAAGUGUUUAUGUUGUAGGGUAUUUGCAUUUGCAUUUUAAUAUUGAAUGCAAAGGAGUAGGAAGAAAACAGAUUUGCAAAUCCUUAGCAUCUUCUUCAUUUCUAAUGAAGCUACUCCUUUGAGUAGAUCCCAUUGCACUGAACCCAAAUUAGACACAUGUGUGCACCGUGUUUUAGAACAUUCAAAGCACUUUACAUGUGUUAUCCUGAAUCCUUACAAAAACAAACACCUUCAAAUGUCUGACAGGUUGUCAGAUGGAAGAGGGAAGUAACCUAUUCUGUCCUACUGCUCCAAAGGAAGAGAAUGUGUUACUGGUUUCCACUAGAAACAUAGAACACUGCCUUAUGUCAAGAGACACCAUUUGUCCAUUUUACUUUGUAUUGUCUCUUCCAGGCAUGGAGAACCUGUGGCCCUCCAUGUAUUGGACUCCAUUCCUACCAUCCCUGGCCAUUGGCUAUGCUGACUAUGGCUGAUGGGAGACGGAAGGCCACAUAUUGUUUAUUCCCAGUCUACCUUAAACUGGCACUGGCUUUCCAGGGAUUCAGAAAGCAAUCUACCCCCAUCAUGUACUAUGUGAUCAUUUAAAUUCGGACCUUCAACAUGCAACAGAGCAACCAAUAUACUGUAGCAAGCAUGGUUCUUCUGUAGUUCAUUGUUCUGUCCAAAAAUGUCAAAAACAAGCAGUUGAUGUUUUAACAUUUAAAUGACAUAUUAUUAGUUGAAUACAUUUGAACAUAUUGGACUGCCUGUAUUUAGGCUCUGGCUGUUUGGCAUUGAUUCUAUCACUCAGUUUUCUCCCCCCACAACCCAUGUACUUUUAAGACCCCAUCAGCACAACAUUUCUAGCUCCUGCCUUGAUUCCAAUUCAUUUUCAUGUUGGAUUUCUUUAUUUUGCAAAUAGACUUAGCCUUUGCUUUUGGGUGAUUCCCUUCGGAUUCUGUUCCAUAAUGGUGUGCUAAUGUAAGUUAUGCUCAAAGACCCUUGGUAUUUGAAGACAUAGCAGAAUAUAAGCAAGGGGGGAGGAAAUUGCUCCUUUGUGUCUGGCACUGUAAGAGGCUAGAACAGUGCCGUGUAAUUAAAGGCAGUGGAAGGCGCCCUGGGACUCAGAGCCUGCUUCUUCCACAGGUCAGGUUUUGAACUUAACUCCCUGGAAUUACUGUUAAUCUAAACCACUUAUUGACUUGAACAGGGACAGAGUGUGAAGGUUGGAGACUUGAGGGCUAAAGGCGACACAUAACAAGCAAGUUUAUUUUGUCUCCAUACAUGAAUGAAUGGACAUGAAUGUUGCUACAUUUGUUAUUCCCUCCACCCUUGAAGCAUGUUCUUCUUUUUAAGGGAAACGCCCACCCCACAGUUUUGGAGGGGAUUAUAGAGCGCAAUAUCAGGCAUAUUUAGAAUUUAAUGGUUUUCCUCAAUGGACCCAAAUCUUACAAAAUCUCCUAUAUAGACACUGAAAAAUUAGGAUUCUUCAAAUCAAUGGACAUUUGUGAAGAGUUCCGAAAAAUAUAGGGAAAACAAGUAAUUGAACUUCUCAGAAGUAUCUCCCCCCCCCCCCCCCGUGAGGCUAGAAUUAGGAAAUAAAUUUGAUUCAAUUCACAUUUUAUUAAUUUUAUAAAAAUCUAUGCACUGCUUGAUUGUAAAACACACACACACUCCAAAGCAGUUUACAAAAAGAAUAAAAUGAUCAGUAAAAAAAAAGUUAAAAGAAACAGCUAUUUAAAACAUUCAAAUAAUAGUUAAAAUCAACAAUUA